CACGAACUGCGCAAACGUUAUUCGGAAUCACUGGGCUUAAAGAGUUCGUAGGCGGCGCGUUAAGUCGGGUGUGAAAUCCCUCGGCUCAACCGAGGAAUUGCGUCCGAAACUAGCGUGCUCGAGUAAGAUAGAGGUGAGCGGAACUGAUGGUGGAGCGGUGAAAUGCGUUGAUAUCAUCAGGAACACCGGUGGCGAAAGCGGCUCACUGGGUCUUUACUGACGCUGAGGAACGAAAGCUAGGGGAGCGAACGGGAUUAGAUACCCCGGUAGUCCUAGCCGUAAACGAUGAGCACUAGGUUGAGGGGACCUCCACAUCCCCCCGGCCGUAGCGAAAGUGUUAAGUGCUCCGCCUGGGGAGUAUGGUCGCAAGGCUGAA
RNAcentral lists this ribosomal RNA (376 nucleotides) under uncultured bacterium. Its description in RNAcentral is "bacterial SSU rRNA". It matches the Rfam family "Bacterial small subunit ribosomal RNA", at positions 524 to 898 of the family's 1533-position model. The record is from RNAcentral.